This 253-nucleotide ribosomal RNA is filed under the name uncultured bacterium. RNAcentral's name for it is "partial 16S ribosomal RNA". It matches the Rfam family "Bacterial small subunit ribosomal RNA", at positions 524 to 776 of the family's 1533-position model. The record is from RNAcentral.
UACGAAGGGGGCUAGCGUUGUUCGGAAUUACUGGGCGUAAAGCGCGCGCAGGCGGUCCUUUAAGUCGGGGGUGAAAGCCCAGAGCUCAACUCUGGAACUGCCUUCGAAACUAGAGGACUUGGGUACGGGAGAGGUGAGUGGAAUUCCGAGUGUAGAGGUGAAAUUCGUAGAUAUUCGGAAGAACACCAGUGGCGAAGGCGACUUACUGGACGAUUGUUGACGCUGAGGUGCGAAAGCGUGGGGAGCAAACAGG